This 30-nucleotide non-coding RNA is filed under the name Mus musculus (house mouse). The record is from RNAcentral. Lineage: Eukaryota; Metazoa; Chordata; Mammalia; Rodentia; Muridae.
AGGCUUUUGGGAUAGCGUUGGAAACGUAAA